Long non-coding RNA from Populus nigra (black poplar), 612 nucleotides. RefSeq lists it as uncharacterized. NCBI's taxonomy places the organism in Eukaryota, Viridiplantae, Streptophyta, Magnoliopsida, Malpighiales, Salicaceae. The transcript has 2 exons. The record is from RefSeq and is a predicted model, not a curated record.
AUUAAGCGAAUGCGCACAAAAGAACGAAGAGAGAAGAAAUGACGAGUCUGUACUGCUCAAGUUGGAGGAGUUGAAAACAAGGGAUUGCUGCAAUUUGGAGGUUCUUGGGAUAUCUGGCGGUGAAUCUCGCGAUAUUUGUAAAGAUCAGUGGGCCAAAAGUAGAGACUGGUUUUUUUCUAAAACCUCCCAGUGUUAAAGAAGUAUCUCUUGGGAUUCGUUUUUGUGACUACAAUGUAUCUGAGAUACGUCAGCUGUCAAGUUAACUUUGACAGCCACAAACUCUUCAGCAAGCUCAGGUGCUUGAUCUUCACAUUCCUGAGCUAAGCGGUGCAACGCACACGGAAAUUAAGGUUAAUAUAUGUUAUUCCAACAGCCUUCUCUGUUCUGCUGGCUGCUUUCUUGCAAAGAUUUACGUUGAAGGUUAGUUUCUUGCUAGUCUAGAUAUGAUUUUAGCCAAGUUUUCGAGGAUUUGCUCCAUAGAAAAGAUAUCAAUAAGAGUGACUUUGUAAGGAUUUCAUUGUCAAAACUCUUUUAAAUGUCAUCACAGCAUUAGCAUGUGCGAGGAAGCUUGUGUUUUGCCAUUACAACAUGGUACACAGCUGUCUUUAACCA